AACGAACGCUGGCGGCAUGCCUAACACAUGCAAGUCGAACGAGACCUUCGGGUCUAGUGGCGCACGGGUGCGUAACGCGUGGGAACCUGCCCUUAGGUUCGGAAUAACUCCCCGAAAGGGGUGCUAAUACCGGAUAAUGUCUUCGGACCAAAGAUUUAUCGCCUUUGGAUGGGCCCGCGUUGGAUUAGCUAGUUGGUAGGGUAAAAGCCUACCAAGGCGACGAUCCAUAGCUGGUCUGAGAGGAUGAUCAGCCACACUGGGACUGAGACACGGCCCAGACUCCGACGGGAGGCAGCAGGGGGGAAUAUUGGACAAUGGGCGAAAGCCUGAUCCAGCAAGGCCGCGUGAGUGAUGAAGGCCUUAGGGUUGUAAAGCUCUUUUACCCGGGAUGAUAAGGACAGUACCGGGAGAAUAGGCUCCGGCUAACUCCGU
RNAcentral lists this ribosomal RNA (432 nucleotides) under uncultured bacterium. RNAcentral's name for it is "partial 16S ribosomal RNA". It matches the Rfam family "Bacterial small subunit ribosomal RNA", at positions 29 to 506 of the family's 1533-position model. The record is from RNAcentral.